This 468-nucleotide ribosomal RNA is filed under the name uncultured bacterium. RNAcentral describes it as "partial 16S ribosomal RNA". It matches the Rfam family "Bacterial small subunit ribosomal RNA", at positions 28 to 507 of the family's 1533-position model. The record is from RNAcentral.
GACGAACGCUGGCGGCGUGCUUAACACAUGCAAGUCGAACGGAAAGGCCCUGCUUUUGUGGGGUGCUCGAGUGGCGAACGGGUGAGUAACACGUGAGUAACCUGCCCUUGACUUUGGGAUAACUUCAGGAAACUGGGGCUAAUACCGGAUAGGAGCUCCUGCUGCAUGGUGGGGGUUGGAAAGUUUCGGCGGUUGGGGAUGGACUCGCGGCUUAUCAGCUUGUUGGUGGGGUAGUGGCUUACCAAGGCUUUGACGGGUAGCCGGCCUGAGAGGGUGACCGGCGACAUUGGGACUGAGAUACGGCCCAGACUCCUACGGGAGGCAGCAGUGGGGAAUAUUGCACAAUGGGCGGAAGCCUGAUGCAGCAACGCCGCGUGCGGGAUGACGGCCUUCGGGUUGUAAACCGCUUUCGCCUGUGACGAAGCGUGAGUGACGGUAAUGGGUAAAGAGGCACCGGCUAACUACGUG